GCCAGCAGCCAUAUCACCCUUCAAUUCACAACUGGCAACCCACUGAAGCUAAGCAGGUGUGAGCCUGGUCAGUACCUGAAUGGGAGACCUUCUAGGGAAAACUAAGGUUGCUGCUGGAA
Lepisosteus oculatus (spotted gar) is the source of this 119-nucleotide ribosomal RNA. NCBI's taxonomy places the organism in Eukaryota, Metazoa, Chordata, Actinopteri, Semionotiformes, Lepisosteidae. The record is from Ensembl.